UACGUAGGCAGCGAGCGUUGUUCGGAGUUACUGGGCGUAAAGGGUGUGUAGGCGGUUGUUUAAGUUUGGUGUGAAAUCUCCCGGCUCAACUGGGAGGGUGCGCCGAAUACUGAAUGACUCGAGUGUGGGAGAGGUGAGUGGAAUUCCUGGUGUAGCGGUGAAAUGCGUAGAUAUCAGGAGGAACACCUGCGGUGUAGACGGCUUACUGGACCAUAACUGACGCUGAGGCACGAAAGCGUGGGUAGCAAACAGG
Molecule: ribosomal RNA, 253 nt
Filed under: uncultured bacterium
Lineage: Bacteria
Description: partial 16S ribosomal RNA
Rfam family: Bacterial small subunit ribosomal RNA
Source: RNAcentral